GUAAAGCGAGAAUCAAUGAAAUUCAAGCUGAAUUACACCUUGAAAAAAACAAUUGAGACAAUAAGCAAGAAGCUGUUUAACCAUAUGUAUAAGAUCGAAGAAAAAGUAAAGUCCCACUGGAGUGAAGAUGGUGUAGAAAUCAAUGAUAAUUCAGGUAGUUUCAAAACUCUCCCUUGUUUUUAAUAAAAACAAUGAAAUAGAGUAGGGAGAUUAAUGAAAGUGCAACCCUCAAAUUGAAAAUACACACAGCUGAAGUUGAAACAGAAAUCUCUGGACCAGACAAUCUCCCUCCUGGAACUGUGAAAGAGCUGGCAUGAGAAACUGAGGAUCGGGUAACGAUUUUUGUACUGAUUACGUUAAAUUGGCAUGGUGCAUUAUGGUUGAACAUAGCUAAUGUAAUGCUGCUGCUUGAGAAAAGAUGGAAAUAGCCCACCAACAACUAGGGACUAACCUGACUUUAAUAGUAUACAAAAUAUAAGAACGAAUUUUGAAAGAAAAUAUAUGUAGAGAGAAAUAAAAAAAAUAUAUAAAAUGUAGUAUGGCUUUAACAAAACUGAAUCAUGCAAGAAUAAGCAGGUAUAUUUCUUUGGUGAUAAAAAUGCUUUCCUAGACAAAUGAAAUGCAGCAUUUUAUCUGGAUUUCAGGUAAACAUUUGAUAUGAAGCCGUAGGGAAAAAGGUUACAUUAUGUGCAGAAGCUGAGAAUUAGUAUAAUAACUAUAAGGUCAACAGGGAACUGCCUAAAGGGCAGCUCACAACAGGUUCUGCUGAAAGGAAAGUUAUCAGGUGGGAGGAACUCUAUUGUUUUGACAGAUUGACCUUAGGACCUAUUUUCUUAAUAGUUUCAUUAGUGACCUUGGCAUGGAAAAUAGUAGCAAAUGAGAGAUAUUUACUGAUGACAUAAAAAUGGAAAGCAUGAAAAGAAUUAGAAAGAAAGAAAUGGAUAACCUUGGGGGCUGCUGCACUGGAAGUGAGAUCAUGUGUAACAGAACGGAGAGCAAUGCCCUUGCACGGAGGGAGCAAAGACACAGGUCUGCCUCCAUCUGCCUGCUGCGGGCUAGUUUGAACCUUCAGAGAUAACUAACCAGUAUUAAGCACAUGGAUACAGGUCAAAUGUAGGCCUUCUGUCUCCGAACCAUGAAUUUCUACUGGAAAGAAACAUCUGCACAUGAAUGGACCACAGGAUGGGUCUGGGCUGUCAACAGGAUGCAUCCAUGGACAAACCCUGAAGCUACUGUGGUGAGUAUAUAGGGGAGGUACUUCCAACAGCAAUAGGAAAAUAGCAGUGCUGCGUGAGAAGCUGUGGGAAGUCCACAGAGGAAAUACUGUUUUCUUUCCUGCUCAUCUAUUAUCAAGCAAGCAGCAUUGAAACUGAAAAUAAUGCAGUGAGGGACUUCUCAAGAGAGUGGAGAGAUGACUUCCUGAGAAGAUAUAACAGGGCUUGUUUAGGUCAGCAAGGUGAAGUUUGAGAAGAGGUAGGAUUGUUUUCUCUAAGUACAUUGGGGGUGGAGAAAGGAGAUGAGAGAAAAAGAGCUAUUUAAGCUGAAGGACAGCUCUGGCACAAGAGUUCUGUACACUGCUUCCUACUCAGACCCGUGAGUUUUUGGAACAGUUUCCCAGUAGCAGUAUUUGAAGGAAAAAAACCUGACUAGCUCGUUAUUAAGCAGUUUAUGCAAUGGACUCUACUUCCACCAGUUGCCUGAUGUAGCCAGGCAGAGGGCUCACAGCCUACAGGGUCUCUUCCAGUCCUACACUCUGAAGCUGCAGCCACAUGCAACUUGCCAGCUGAGGUUGACUUGCACGGCUUUUCUCUGACAAAUUCAAUGGACAACAAAAAUUUAUUUCUUGCAGAGUGCUUACUAUCUGUAAAGCACCAUGUACUGCACAAAGGCAUAUAAACAUCAUAAUUCAUUAUAUUUAAUCUCCUUUUAAACUACACAUGCUAUUCUAGAGGACCGACUUACUGCACUUUAACCAUCAGCCAUCACAAGGCCAAACGAGC
Harpia harpyja (harpy eagle) is the source of this 2000-nucleotide long non-coding RNA. RefSeq lists it as uncharacterized. NCBI's taxonomy places the organism in Eukaryota, Metazoa, Chordata, Aves, Accipitriformes, Accipitridae. The transcript is spliced from 3 exons. The record is from RefSeq and is a predicted model, not a curated record.